Molecule: ribosomal RNA, 433 nt
Filed under: uncultured bacterium
Lineage: Bacteria
Description: partial 16S ribosomal RNA
Rfam family: Bacterial small subunit ribosomal RNA
Source: RNAcentral
AACGAGCGCUGGCGGCAUGCCUAACACAUGCAAGUCGAACGAUCCCUUCGGGGAUAGUGGCGCACGGGUGCGUAACGCGUGGGAACCUGCCCUUAGGUUCGGAAUAACUCAGAGAAAUUUGAGCUAAUACCGGAUAAUGUCUUCGGACCAAAGAUUUAUCGCCUUUGGAUGGGCCCGCGUUGGAUUAGCUAGUUGGUGGGGUAAAGGCCUACCAAGGCGACGAUCCAUAGCUGGUCUGAGAGGAUGAUCAGCCACACUGGGACUGAGACACGGCCCAGACUCCUACGGGAGGCAGCAGUGGGGAAUAUUGGACAAUGGGCGAAAGCCUGAUCCAGCAAUGCCGCGUGAGUGAUGAAGGCCUUAGGGUUGUAAAGCUCUUUUACCCGGGAUGAUAAUGACAGUACCGGGAGAAUAAGCCCCGGCUAACUCCGUG